Molecule: ribosomal RNA, 459 nt
Filed under: uncultured bacterium
Lineage: Bacteria
Description: partial 16S ribosomal RNA
Rfam family: Bacterial small subunit ribosomal RNA
Source: RNAcentral
CCUACGGGAGACUGCAGUGAGGAAUAUUGGUCAAUGGACGAGAGUCUGAACCAGCCAAGUAGCGUGAAGGAUGACUGCCCUAUGGGUUGUAAACUUCUUUUAUAAAGGAAUAAAACGAGGCACGAGUGCCUUUUUGAAUGUACUUUAUGAAUAAGGAUCGGCUAACUCCGUGCCAGCAGCCGCGGUAAUACGGAGGAUGCGAGCGUUAUCCGGAUUUAUUGGGUUUAAGGGGGGCGUAGGCGGGUUUUUAAGUUAGUGGUAAAAGUUUGGGGCUCAACCUCAAAAUGCCAUUUAAACUGGCAGUCUUGAGAACAGAUGAGGUAGGCGGAAUACGUGGUGUAGCGGUGAAAUGCUUAGAUAUAACGAAGAACCCCGAUUGCGAAGGCAGCUUACCAGACUGUGUCUGACGUUGAUGCACGAGAGUGUGGGUAUCGAACAGGAUUAGAUACCCUUGUAGUC